UGCAGCAGAUGCUAUGAUGUCAGGUAUC
This 28-nucleotide non-coding RNA is filed under the name Homo sapiens (human). The record is from RNAcentral. Lineage: Eukaryota; Metazoa; Chordata; Mammalia; Primates; Hominidae.